Molecule: ribosomal RNA, 492 nt
Filed under: uncultured bacterium
Lineage: Bacteria
Description: partial 16S ribosomal RNA
Rfam family: Bacterial small subunit ribosomal RNA
Source: RNAcentral
AGUGAACGCUGGCGGUAGGCCUAACACAUGCAAGUCGAACGGCAGCACAGUAAGAGCUUGCUCUUACGGGUGGCGAGUGGCGGACGGGUGAGGAAUACAUCGGAAUCUACUUUUUCGUGGGGGAUAACGUAGGGAAACUUACGCUAAUACCGCAUACGACCUACGGGUGAGAGCAGGGGAGCUUCGGACCUUGCGCGAUUGAAUGAGCCGAUGUCGGAUUAGCUAGUUGGCGGGGUAAAGGCCCACCAAGGCGACGAUCCGUAGCUGGUCUGAGAGGAUGAUCAGCCACACUGGAACUGAGACACGGUCCAGACUCCUACGGGAGGCAGCAGUGGGGAAUAUUGGACAAUGGGCGCAAGCCUGAUCCAGCCAUACCGCGUGGGUGAAGAAGGCCUUCGGGUUGUAAAGCCCUUUUGUUGGGAAAGAAAAGCAGCAGGUUAAUACCCCGCUGUUCUGACGGUACCCAAAGAAUAAGCACCGGCUAACUUCGUG